AAUGGGUCGGCUGCCGUCGUCGGGUCGAUCGAUGCGUGGAUUUCAACGACAGAGACGCCCGAAGAGCGUUGGCAGACGUUACCAUCCUGCGGGGUUCUAGAUGGCUGGGGGAAAUUACACAAUACAUUAAUUUAAUGCAAUGCCGUUCUUCGGAGUGAAGUGGAGUUUCCAUGAAGUAAUCAAAAUGAGGUAAACUACGGAAACGCGGCGCUAAAGGCGGAAAACACACUCGAAGUGCUGUAGUACAACACAUUGAUGGAGAGGAAAAAUUGGCUGUUUUCGGCAAAAAUGUAUCGAAGAAUGUGGCAAAUAUAUGGAGUUGUGAAGCAAGUCC
This 334-nucleotide small RNA is filed under the name Histoplasma capsulatum var. duboisii H88. RNAcentral describes it as "Histoplasma capsulatum H88 hypothetical RNA". Lineage: Eukaryota; Fungi; Ascomycota; Eurotiomycetes; Onygenales; Ajellomycetaceae. The record is from RNAcentral.